GACGGGUGAGUAACGCGUGGGAACGUACCUUUUGGUUCGGAACAACACAGGGAAACUUGUGCUAAUACCGGAUAAGCCCUUACGGGGAAAGAUUUAUCGCCGAAAGAUCGGCCCGCGUCUGAUUAGCUAGUUGGUGAGGUAAUGGCUCACCAAGGCGACGAUCAGUAGCUGGUCUGAGAGGAUGAUCAGCCACAUUGGGACUGAGACACGGCCCAAACUCCUACGGGAGGCAGCAGUGGGGAAUAUUGGACAAUGGGGGCAACCCUGAUCCAGCCAUGCCGCGUGAGUGAUGAAGGCCCUAGGGUUGUAAAGCUCUUUUGUGCGGGAAGAUAAUGACGGUACCGCAAGAAUAAGCCCCGGCUAACUUCGUGCCAGCAGCCGCGGUAAUACGAAGGGGGCUAGCGUUGCUCGGAAUCACUGGGCGUAAAGGGUGCGUAGGCGGGUCUUUAAGUCAGGGGUGAAAUCCUGGAGCUCAACUCCAGAACUGCCUUUGAUACUGAGGAUCUUGAGUUCGGGAGAGGUGAGUGGAACUGCGAGUGUAGAGGUGAAAUUCGUAGAUAUUCGCAAGAACACCAGUGGCGAAGGCGGCUCACUGGCCCGAUACUGACGCUGAGGCACGAAAGCGUGGGGAGCAAACAGGAUUAGAUACCCUGGUAGUCCACGCCGUAAACGAUGAAUGCCAGCCGUUAGUGGGUUUACUCACUAGUGGCGCAGCUAACGCUUUAAGCAUUCCGCCUGGGGAGUACGGUCGCAAGAUUAAAACUCAAAGGAUUUGACGGGGGCCCGCACAAGCGGUGGAGCAUGUGGUUUAAUUCGACGCAACGCGCAGAACCUUACCAGCCCUUGACAUGUCCAGGACCGGUCGCAGAGAUGUGACCCUCUCUUC
RNAcentral lists this ribosomal RNA (886 nucleotides) under Bradyrhizobium japonicum. RNAcentral describes it as "bacterial SSU rRNA". It matches the Rfam family "Bacterial small subunit ribosomal RNA", at positions 100 to 1021 of the family's 1533-position model. Lineage: Bacteria; Pseudomonadati; Pseudomonadota; Alphaproteobacteria; Hyphomicrobiales; Nitrobacteraceae. The record is from RNAcentral.